GACGAACGCUGGCGGCGUGCUUAACACAUGCAAGUCGAGCGGUAAGGCCCUUUCGGGGGUACACGAGCGGCGAACGGGUGAGUAACACGUGGGUGACCUGCCCUCAGCUCUGGGAUAAGCCUGGGAAACCGGGUCUAAUACCGGAUAUGACUCCAUGACGCAUGUUGUGGGGGUGGAAAGCCUUGUGCGGCUGAGGAUGGGCCCGCGGCCUAUCAGCUUGUUGGUGGGGUGAUGGCCUACCAAGGCGACGACGGGUAGCCGGCCUGAGAGGGCGACCGGCCACACUGGGACUGAGACACGGCCCAGACUCCUACGGGAGGCAGCAGUGGGGAAUUGUUCGCAAUGGCGCAAGCCUGACGACGCAACGCCGCGUGGAGGAUGAAGGUCUUCGGAUUGUAACUCUGUUGCCGGGACGAAUGCUCCGACCUAACACGUCGGAGUGUGACGGUACCGGGUGA
This 458-nucleotide ribosomal RNA is filed under the name uncultured bacterium. RNAcentral's name for it is "bacterial SSU rRNA". It matches the Rfam family "Bacterial small subunit ribosomal RNA", at positions 28 to 485 of the family's 1533-position model. The record is from RNAcentral.